ACGGGGGAUGCGAGCGUUAUCCGGAAUUAUUGGGUUUAAAGGGUGCGUAGGUUGUGUGACAAGUUGGAGGUGAAAGGCAGGGGCUCAACCAUUGGAAUCCUGGCGAACUGGGAGACUUGAGUGUAGGAUGGGAAAGUGGAAUUCAUUGUGUAGCGGUGAAAUGCGUAGAUAUUAGUAAGAACACCAGUUGCGAAGGCGACUUUCUAGACUGAAACUGACACUGAGGCACGAAAGCGUGGGGAGCAAACAU
This 250-nucleotide ribosomal RNA is filed under the name uncultured prokaryote. Its description in RNAcentral is "partial 16S rRNA". It matches the Rfam family "Bacterial small subunit ribosomal RNA", at positions 525 to 775 of the family's 1533-position model. The record is from RNAcentral.